RNAcentral lists this ribosomal RNA (506 nucleotides) under uncultured bacterium. RNAcentral describes it as "bacterial SSU rRNA". It matches the Rfam family "Bacterial small subunit ribosomal RNA", at positions 791 to 1308 of the family's 1533-position model. The record is from RNAcentral.
UAGUCCACGCCCUAAACGAUGCAUGCUCGAUGUUGGAACUUUUAUAUGGUUUCAGUGUCUCAAGCUAACGCGUUAAGCAUGCCGCCCGUGGAGUACGGCCGCAAGGCUAAAACAUAAAGGAAUAGACGGGGGCCCACACAAGCGGUGGAACAUGGGGUUUAAUUCGAUAAUACGCGGAACACCUCACCCAGGUUUGACAUCCCGAGAAUCUUUUAGAAAUAAUUGAGUGCCUUACGGAACUCGGUGACAGGUGGUGCACGGUCGUCGUCAGCUCGUGCUUUGAAGUGUACUGUUAAGUCUAGCCAACGAGCGCAACCCAUAUCGUAUGUUGCUUUUUCAUACGAGACUGCCGCCUCCAAGGCGGAGGAAGGUAUGGAUGACGUCAGAUCUGCGUGUCCCUUAUACCUGGGGCGACACCCAUGUUACAAUGGUCGAUACAAAGGGCAGCCAACCCGCGAGGGGGAGCCAAUCCCAUAAAAUCGAUCUCAGUCCGGAUAGGAGUCUGC